CAGUAGCCGCGGUAAUACAGAGGGUGCGAGCGUUAAUCGGAUUUACUGGGCGUAAAGCGUGCGUAGGCGGCUUUUUAAGUCGGAUGUGAAAUCCCUGAGCUUAACUUAGGAAUUGCAAUCGAUACUGGGAAGCUAGAGUAUGGGAGAGGAUGGUAGAAUUCCAGGUGUAGCGGUGAAAUGCGUAGAGAUCUGGAGGAAUACCGAUGGCGAAGGCAGCCAUCUGGCCUAAUACUGACGCUGAGGUACGAAAGCAUGGGGAGCAAACAGGAUUAGAUACCCCAGUAGUCCCUGUCUCUUAUAC
Molecule: ribosomal RNA, 301 nt
Filed under: uncultured bacterium
Lineage: Bacteria
Description: partial 16S ribosomal RNA
Rfam family: Bacterial small subunit ribosomal RNA
Source: RNAcentral